UUAGAGUUUGAUCAUGGCUCAGAUUGAACGCUGGCGGCAUGCCUUACACAUGCAAGUCGAACGGCAGCGCGGGGCAACCUGGCGGCGAGUGGCGAACGGGUGAGUAAAAUAUCGGAACGUACCCUGGAGUGGGGGAUAACGUAGCGAAAGUUACGCUAAUACCGCAUACGAUCUAAGGAUGAAAGUGGGGGAUCGCAAGACCUCAUGCUCCUGGAGCGGCCGAUAUCUGAUUAGCUAGUUGGUGGGGUAAAGGCCUACCAAGGCAUCGAUCAGUAGCUGGUCUGAGAGGACGACCAGCCACACUGGAACUGAGACACGGUCCAGACUCCUACGGGAGGCAGCAGUGGGGAAUUUUGGACAAUGGGCGCAAGCCUGAUCCAGCAAUGCCGCGUGAGUGAAGAAGGCCUUCGGGUUGUAAAGCUCUUUUGUCAGGGAAGAAACGGUGAGGGCUAAUAUCCCUUGCUAAUGACGGUACCUGAAGAAUAAGCACCGGCUAACUACGUGCCAGCAGCCGCGGUAAUAUCGC
This 526-nucleotide ribosomal RNA is filed under the name uncultured bacterium. Its description in RNAcentral is "bacterial SSU rRNA". It matches the Rfam family "Bacterial small subunit ribosomal RNA", at positions 1 to 528 of the family's 1533-position model. The record is from RNAcentral.